ACCGGCAGCUCAAGUGGUGGCCAUUUUUAUUGGGCCUAAAGCGUUCGUAGCCGGUUUGAUAAGUCUCUGGUGAAAUCCCGCAGCUUAACUGUGGGACUUGCUGGAGAUACUAUUAGACUUGAGGUCGGGAGAGGUUAGGGGUACUCCCAGGGUAGGGGUGAAAUCCUAUGAUCCUGGGAGGACUACCGGAGGCGAAGGCGCUCAACUGGAACGAACUUGACGGUGAGUAGCGAAGGUGAGGGUCGCGAACCG
RNAcentral lists this ribosomal RNA (252 nucleotides) under uncultured prokaryote. RNAcentral's name for it is "partial 16S rRNA". It matches the Rfam family "Archaeal small subunit ribosomal RNA", at positions 475 to 726 of the family's 1478-position model. The record is from RNAcentral.